UGCCAGCCGCCGCGGUAAUACGGAGGAUGCAAGCGUUAUCCGGAUUCAUUGGGUUUAAAGGGUGCGCAGGCGGGCUUGUAAGUCAGUGGUGAAAUCUUGCCGCUUAACGGUAAAACUGCCAUUGAUACUGCAAGUCUUGAAUAUGGUUGAGGUAGGCGGAAUGUGUUGUGUAGCGGUGAAAUGCAUAGAUAUGACACAGAACGCCGAUUGCGAAGGCAGCUUACUAAGCCAUUAUUGACGCUGAGGCACGAAAGCGUGGGGAGCGAACAGGAUUAGAUA
This 279-nucleotide ribosomal RNA is filed under the name uncultured bacterium. RNAcentral describes it as "partial 16S ribosomal RNA". It matches the Rfam family "Bacterial small subunit ribosomal RNA", at positions 506 to 784 of the family's 1533-position model. The record is from RNAcentral.